Molecule: long non-coding RNA, 270 nt
Filed under: Elaeis guineensis (African oil palm)
Lineage: Eukaryota; Viridiplantae; Streptophyta; Magnoliopsida; Arecales; Arecaceae
Description: long non-coding RNA (EGUI_LNC036285)
Source: RNAcentral
CUUCAACCCCUCCUGGUAAUGACGAGAUAUUUGGAGAUAAGGAUUUUGAUUUAAGAUAUUUUUGAUGUAUUUUAUUUUUAUUUGAAAAAUAUUGUAAUACAAUUUGAUCAGUAAUAUAAUUUGAGUAUUUGAGAUAUAUUCCUGUAUUAUUAUUAAAUUUUAUGUGAAAUUUUUGAUUCUUGUAAAUUUUAGUUUGAAUAAUUAUAUAUUGAAUUGUCUAUCAGGUAAAAAAUGAUAAAUUUAAGCAGUUGGAAAGUUACUACUACAAGA